Helianthus annuus (common sunflower) is the source of this 1209-nucleotide long non-coding RNA. RefSeq lists it as uncharacterized. Lineage: Eukaryota; Viridiplantae; Streptophyta; Magnoliopsida; Asterales; Asteraceae. The transcript has 7 exons. The record is from RefSeq and is a predicted model, not a curated record.
UCAACGCUCCCUCUCCCAACUGACCCUUCAACGCUCAAUCUUCAAUCGGACAUCUUCACAAUGUUCGUUCAGUUGUUCUUUCUUCACGGUGGUUAUUCAAUCGAUAGUUCCUCUCCUUCUCGAGUAUCAACAACACUUAUUCGGUCGUUCAUCGUGAAUUGAUCGUUAUUCUCCAUCGUGCCUUUGACAAUCGCUCCAUAUGAUCUUCUGCUUCAACAGAUUAAGAGAGAGAUAUCUAUAAUGAAGCUGAGUGUGAUGUUGAUAUUCGGAGAGAGCAUAAAUAAGUGACGUUGAUAUUCGGAGAGAACUAUUCAGCGAUAUCUUGCUUGCUGGUGGCACAACAUCAAUGCAACAAUUGAAUGAACGUCUUGAGAAAGACUUGCUGGAGGCUAUUCAAUUUCACAGCUCAUCAUGCAUGCAUAUAGUAUCACUUUUUGCAAAUAUAAAAUCAAAAGUUUGCGUUACUUUCUAGUUUUGACCCUUAAGGCCAAUAAUAUGAUGUCAAACAAAUCUGAAAACUGAAAAGUAUGAUGACAUAAAAGAAUUGAAAUUACUUGUAGACCAAAUGUAUCGUUAACACAUAGAAUGCUCUAAAUCUAUUUGGUUAAAAUACUAGAUUAUUAAACUAAUAUUAGUUAUAAAUUUUGCACAAAAAGUGUUUGUAGUCUCAAAAGUUAUCUGCCCAUUUACAUGCUUGCAGGACCCCCCCCCCUCCCUCCCCCCAGAAGAAUUAUGUUUGGUUUUAAGCUCUGAUGGAAACUGGGAAACGACAAAUAUUAUAUCUGAUCUGUAUCACUUAUUGCAUUUUCUGAAACAAAAGAUGAAUCAAAACUUUUUCGACAAUGUUCUUCGGGUUUAGAGACAAUUGCAGCAAUCUCUAUGUAACCACAAGGAAUAGUACAUAUUGGGUCCAUUAAUAAGGUCAUUUGUUCCAUCAGUUUGUUGCUGCUCAAUAAUAAUUGAUGACUACAAGAAGUAAAAUACUGAUUAAAGACGUGGUCUGUAAAUCAACACAAAGCAAGAAGAUAAUUGGAAACUGCUGCUAACUGAAUAAUCGUGGGAGAGAGAGUGUGGAACUGCCAUGAACUGCUGCUUCUAGAAGGAAUUUAGAGACUUUAAACGGCUGAGAUUAAAAGUUGAUGACUUUCUACGGCUGUAAUUAGCCCAAAUAGCAGUUACAAACAACGGGAACAAUAUAAUAUAGAAUGU